UCGGAUAUGGUGUAACGGCGAACAUUAGCGCCUCUCAUGUGUUCCUCCCUUCGUGUUCGCGCUAGCUCGGGGUUCGAUUCCCCGUAUCCGAA
Non-coding RNA from Hymenopellis radicata, 92 nucleotides. NCBI's taxonomy places the organism in Eukaryota, Fungi, Basidiomycota, Agaricomycetes, Agaricales, Physalacriaceae. The record is from the annotation of a GenBank genome assembly.